ACGGGAGGCAGCAGUGAGGGAUAUUGGGCAAUGGGGGCAACCCUGACCCAGCGACGCCGCGUGAGGGAAGACGGUCUUCGGAUUGUAAACCUCUGUCUUUGGGGACGAAAAAGGACGGUACCCAAGGAGGAAGCUCCGGCUAACUACGUGCCAGCAGCCGCGGUAAUACGUAGGGAGCGAGCGUUGUCCGGAAUUACUGGGUGUAAAGGGAGCGUAGGCGGGAAGGCAAGUUGGAUGUGAAAACUGUGGGCUCAACCUACAGACUGCAUUCAAAACUGUUUUUCUUGAGUGAAGUAGAGGCAAGCGGAAUUCCUAGUGUAGCGGUGAAAUGCGUAGAUAUUAGGAGGAACACCAGUGGCGAAGGCGGCUUGCUGGGCUUUUACUGACGCUGAGGCUCGAAAGUGUGGGGAGCAAACAGGAUUAGAUACCCUGGUA
RNAcentral lists this ribosomal RNA (435 nucleotides) under uncultured Anaerotruncus sp. RNAcentral describes it as "bacterial SSU rRNA". It matches the Rfam family "Bacterial small subunit ribosomal RNA", at positions 341 to 792 of the family's 1533-position model. Lineage: Bacteria; Bacillati; Bacillota; Clostridia; Eubacteriales; Oscillospiraceae. The record is from RNAcentral.